GGUCCUGUGGCGCAAUAGGUUAACGCUCCCGACUUCUGAUCGGAGGAUUCCAGGUUCGAGUCCUGGCAGGAUCG
Molecule: transfer RNA, 74 nt
Filed under: Anopheles sinensis
Lineage: Eukaryota; Metazoa; Arthropoda; Insecta; Diptera; Culicidae
Rfam family: tRNA
About the family: Transfer RNA (tRNA) molecules are approximately 80 nucleotides in length. Their secondary structure includes four short double-helical elements and three loops (D, anti-codon, and T loops).
Source: Rfam by way of RNAcentral